AGUCAAGUCAACACAUGAAAUUAACCAUCACACCAUGAGAACUUGGCUAUAUUCUCCCUGAACUGUCUUGAGGACGCCACUGAAGCCCUCCGUAUUAUAAUGAGUGACAGAACAUCCCCAAGCAGACUCUUUCGUCUUCACCCAAGGCACCUCCUCUGUGUUAACCCUGCAGUGAAAAGCAGGGAAAUAGCUGUGUGGUUUGGACAGUCUCUCAGCUCCCUGCACUCUCACAAGGCCAAGUGAUCGACAGCCCUAGUCUUUGAAGUUCUCUAUGAACCUUGAAGAAGUGAUGCCUUUCAGUCCUGAAAUCUCACUGCUGGUUACAGGUGGAAGUGACUGAUAAACAGUGAAAGUGGAAACCAAGCUAAGAAACCAGGAAAAUAAGCCAGCAAGCCUCAAAAGCUAGCUUUGCUUUUCCCCAUGAUCUGUAGUUACUGACUAAUAAAAUUAAAAAUCUAUGAAAAAC
Molecule: long non-coding RNA, 466 nt
Filed under: Equus caballus (horse)
Lineage: Eukaryota; Metazoa; Chordata; Mammalia; Perissodactyla; Equidae
Description: lncRNA (ENSECAG00000049858.1)
Source: RNAcentral